This 426-nucleotide ribosomal RNA is filed under the name uncultured bacterium. RNAcentral describes it as "partial 16S ribosomal RNA". It matches the Rfam family "Bacterial small subunit ribosomal RNA", at positions 354 to 796 of the family's 1533-position model. The record is from RNAcentral.
GUGAGGUAUUUUCCGCAAUGGGCGAAAGCCUGACGGAGCAAUGCCGCGUGAAGGAUGAAGGCCUAUGGGUUGUAAACUUCUUUUCUCAGAAAAGAAUUAUGACGGUAUCUGAGGAAUAAGCAUCGGCUAACUCUGUGCCAGCAGCCGCGGUAAGACAGAGGAUGCAAGCGUUAUCCGGAAUGAUUGGGCGUAAAGCGUCUGUAGGUUGUUUAAAAAGUAUUCUGUCAAAGAUUAGGGCUUAACCCUAGAUAGGCAGAAUAAACUUUUAAGCUAGAGUUUGGUAGAGGCAGAGGGAAUUCCCGGUGGAGCGGUGAAAUGCGUAGAUAUCGGGAGGAACACCAAAGGCGAAGGCACUCUGCUGGGCCAAUACUAACACUGAGAGACGAAAGCGAGGGGAGCAAAUGGGAUUAGAAACCCCAGUAGUCC